RNAcentral lists this ribosomal RNA (800 nucleotides) under uncultured bacterium. RNAcentral describes it as "bacterial SSU rRNA". It matches the Rfam family "Bacterial small subunit ribosomal RNA", at positions 1 to 737 of the family's 1533-position model. The record is from RNAcentral.
AGAGUUUGAUCAUGGCUCAGGACGAACGCUGGCGGUGUGCUUAAUACAUGCAAGUCGAACAGAGUUUGAUCAUGGCUCAGAUUGAACGCUGGCGGCAGGCCUAACACAUGCAAGUCGAACGGUAACAGGAAGCAGCUUGCUGCUUUGCUGACGAGUGGCGGACGGGUGAGUAAUGUCUGGGAAACUGCCCGAUGGAGGGGGAUAACUACUGGAAACGGUAGCUAAUACCGCAUAAUGUCGCAAGACCAAAGAGGGGGACCUUCGGGCCUCUUGCCAUCGGAUGUGCCCAGAUGGGAUUAGCUUGUUGGUGAGGUAACGGCUCACCAAGGCGACGAUCCCUAGCUGGUCUGAGAGGAUGACCAGCCACACUGGAACUGAGACACGGUCCAGACUCCUACGGGAGGCAGCAGUGGGGAAUAUUGCACAAUGGGCGCAAGCCUGAUGCAGCCAUGCCGCGUGUAUGAAGAAGGCCUUCGGGUUGUAAAGUACUUUCAGCGGGGAGGAAGGGGUUAAGGUUAAUAACCUUAGCCAUUGACGUUACCCGCAGAAGAAGCACCGGCUAACUCCGUGCCAGCAGCCGCGGUAAUACGGAGGGUGCAAGCGUUAAUCGGAAUUACUGGGCGUAAAGCGCACGCAGGCGGUCUGUCAAGUCGGAUGUGAAAUCCCCGGGCUCAACCUGGGAACUGCAUUCGAAACUGGCAGGCUUGAGUCUCGUAGAGGGGGGUAGAAUUCCAGGUGUAGCGGUGAAAUGCGUAGAGAUCUGGAGGAAUACCGGUGGCGAAGGCGGCCCCCUGGACGAA